Molecule: long non-coding RNA, 2395 nt
Filed under: Mus musculus (house mouse)
Lineage: Eukaryota; Metazoa; Chordata; Mammalia; Rodentia; Muridae
Description: predicted gene 13219 (Gm13219)
Source: RNAcentral
ACUCCUGGCGACAUCUCGACAGAUUGACACUGCUACCCCCCACCUCCCAAAAUCCCUGCAAGGCUUCUCAUUUCAAAUGUGACCAUGCUCCAACACAAUGUUGGCAAGCCUAGUCUCGUGUUGGAGGAGGGGGAGGGGACUAUAAAAGCAACAUGUUCGCACAAGCAUGGCAGAGCCCAUGCAUAAACCAUUUGGUUUUGCAAUUAAAAACAGGUUUGGCUUCCCUCUGCAUCAGUAAGACAACGUCAAAGCAACAUUCGUCCUGAAAAUUUUCCCUUGUGAAUUCAAAUGAACUAACUACUUGAUGAAAAUGCUAUUGCUGAAAACACCAUGCACAUUGGAGACAGGACACAGAGACAUCAAGCUGGAGCUGAACUGGAAGGUAUCCAUACUGACUAGCUUUCAAAAGGGGAAACUAGAACAACGGAUCAACUUUGGUCUCUCAAAGUCUCUUCCAAAGGAUCUGCAGAGAUCCCUUUCUGCUGUACCAACACCAUGGUGUUUCCUGGCUCUCCCUCCUCAUCAUGGCCGUUCAUUACCGCCUAGCCUCUAAGGUUCUGCACUUUCAUACACCCUGCCCUUUGGCUUGGCCCUUCAAUCAACAAGUCCUGCAUACCUGAUUGAUCUAGACCUGAAUAUCAUAUCAUAAAAGAUCUCCUGGGCAUUUACUGCUUUCCUUGGAACUUCUAAUUCCAUUCCAAGAUGUUUGUGUCCUUUGGGGUGUUGAUGUUUGCUUUUUCUUUGACACAGUGUCUCUCUAAGCAGCCCAGGUGAGCCUUGCGCUUGUAAUCAUUCUGAUGUUUUCCCUCACAUGCUUGGAUUACAGGCAUGUCCGACUCUAUGAAGCUUGUCUAUGUGAUUUUAUGUUCAUGUUGGUGUACAUGCACAUAUGUUCCUCUGGGUGAUGUUGCAUCUGUAUGUGCAUGUAUAUGGAGGCCAGAAGACAAUCUCAGGUAUCAGUCCUUAGGAUCGAUCCACCAUUAGUUGAUUGACUAUUCUGAAAGAGUGUCCUUGACAGGCCUGAGGCUAGUAGGUUAGGCUGGCGGGCCAGCAAAGCCCACGUAUCUGCCUGACUAGGAUGGGAAUUACAAGUGUGCGCCACUUUCUUUUUCUUUUUCUUUUUUAGCAUGGGUUGAGCAGAUCAAACUCAGCUCCUCAUGGUUGCAAGGCAAACACUUUACUAGUUGAGCAGUCUCCCCAGGGUCUAAUUCAUCUGAUUUAAAGGAAUAAAAUAAGUGGGAUUUUGUGUGUCUCCAUAGGUGCUAUUAGGAAGUACCUUAUAGUAAAACUAUCAAAGUAGAAUUCAAAGAACACUACAGAGAACAGUGAGUUUCUACUAUUAAAAGUUUUAAAGAACUUCACAACCAUUUUAUACCUAUAUAGAGCACUAAUCAUAAUAUAUGCAUUCAUAAACCAGGCUUUGGCUGCUAAGCACCUGUCACCUAAAACAUUAUAGAUGCUCAACAAAUAUUCAUAAAAUGCUAAGAGCAUUCAUAAGCAUAUCAAUAUAUGUUAAUCAGUUCUCACUUAAUAAAAAUGACUUAUAAUCAGAUUGCCUCAAUGGGAGAAAAAAAUAAUCUGUUGCAGCAGAGGAACAAGUAUCUGUCCAAAGAAACCCCACAGUGUCUGUCUUUAAAUACCAAAGUAGCAUUACUGCAGGUAUAUACCAUGGUACUAGAAAUUAGCAUUUUUUAAAAAAUAUACAAACUAGCCAAGAACGAUAGACCAAUAGGGAAAAGUGCUUUUCAGAAAGCCUGAUAAUCUGACUUUGACUCACAGAGCCCACUGUAAAAGAAGAAAAUUAAGUCUGUAAAGUUGCACAUAUGCUGUAGCAUAUGCACACAUAUAUUUAUAUAUCAUGUGCAUACAUACAUAGUAACAAUAAAUACAAUAUUUUAAUUUAAAAAUAUAUACAGCAUGUUGUCAAUUUAGCCAAGUAUAUUGAAAGUAUCUUGAAAUAAAAGCCAGUUACAAUUUUUAAUUUGUUUAAAUAUGUACAUUGGUCUCAGACAGUGGCACAUAGCAAGAAGGUAUUUAAUGAAAGUGUAUUCCAUCAGAUUAAUUCACAUGAAUCAAAACUCAGUUUUCAUGCCCUAAGUGUAGCAAACAGGUUUCUCAACUGUUGGGGAAACAUCAGAUUCUCCUUUCUGUUUUAUCUACUUUACUUCCUCUGCCAAGUUUCAUAAGACUUGAGAAAAUGAAAUAAAAGAAUCUCAGACAAAAAGAGCUAUGUUCUACAUUGAUUUCUAGGAAUUUAUCAGACACAAUACAAACUUUUGAGAAAUCUCCGUGCCUUGCUCGUUUUUCGUUUUCCUACAAUAAACCUGUACGUGCUUAAUGAACAAUUUGAGAUGUUUUUGUUUGGUAAUAAAAUCUUGUGCCACUAGAAGCUAAA